UUGAAAUCCUUAGGAUGUUGCUGGCCUUUCGGGGCAUUGUGCACUCCGCCUUUUUCAUCUCACCUGUGAACUUGUUGUAGGCCAGAUUUUUCAUUGAAUAUCUGUGUCUAUGUUAUUUUUAUACACACCAAGUUUAUUAGAAUGUCUAAUGUUAAGACCUUUGAUGGUCAAAAUAAUAAUAAUAA
This 185-nucleotide unclassified non-coding RNA is filed under the name uncultured Clavariaceae. RNAcentral describes it as "sequence contains ITS1". Lineage: Eukaryota; Fungi; Basidiomycota; Agaricomycetes; Agaricales; Clavariaceae. The record is from RNAcentral.